GCACUCUUAGUCUAGUGGUUAUCAUUGUUCUAUGAGCUGGGUUUUACUAGAUCAUUCAAUGGUUUUGGGUUCAAUUCCCAGUGAACGCU
Mycena galopus ATCC 62051 is the source of this 89-nucleotide non-coding RNA. Lineage: Eukaryota; Fungi; Basidiomycota; Agaricomycetes; Agaricales; Mycenaceae. The record is from the annotation of a GenBank genome assembly.